GAUAAGAGGCCGCUUGAUGUUGUACUGGAACCUCCAGAACUGUGGGCCAAAAUAAUCCUUUUUUCUCUAUAAGUGAACUGCCUCAGUUGUUUCACUAUACUAAAGGGAAAUUGACACAGCAUGGCAAACAUAUGUAGGAACCUAAGGGUAAGUUUUCCUCAAGAACAGAAGAGCUGUCUUCCACACACCAUUUUGUUUUCUCCUUGCUGGGAGGAGAGCUGGAGAAAGCAGAGCAAUCAGAAUCACCAGUGUUGUUUACAGCAUUGAACAGGGAUUUAGAAAAUUAGAAGACAAAAGUGAAAUGGAGGGGAUCAAAAGAAAAAUCAGAGUUAUGCCACCUGGAGUUCAGAGAAGUGAGAUUACUUACCUAAAUCAACAUUUUAUCUGAAAAUGGGAAUGGAGGUGAAAGAAAUUUUUAUCCCAAAGGUGGAAGGAAGAAGUUGAAACCCCAUCAGCCAGACUGACAACUUGAGAGAGAAACUACUGAGAUCAAAACAGCACUUGAAUAGUUAUGUUGAAUGGGGGUGACUCUGAAAUUCCCUGUGAUUUUUGAAUCAGAAGCAUCAGAAAUAAUACAAAUAGAGGAACAUUUUCUGCUUUAAGAUAACUCAGUGGUAAGAGGGAUGCCAACAGAUAAGCCAGUUAUAUCUAGAAUUAUAAACCAUCAUUUUGUAAUACACGAAGGUUCCUCAUGUGGUGUUAAAUACAAAUUUGGGGAUAAAUGAGCACGUGUUGAUACAGUUACUAAGUUCUCUUGGUGUCCACAUAAUCAUGAAGGUGAUAAGCAUGACUUUAUAUUUCAGAGUCCAUUUUUAAUUACCUCCUUUGCCAUUGGUGACCUCUUUCCUGCUUAGAUAUAUGCUUAGCCUCCCACCUUCUGUUUUCCCCAUCCUUUCCACCACAACCUAUUCAGUGAACAAUGUGUUACUCUUUUCUUCGGGUAUGUUUACAAUGCCAUUUGCUGCACGGUUAUCUCAGUGAAGUGAACAAUUUUCUCCCCACGGGAGUAGCAAGGGAAGAGCUCUUGCACUGAGUCACCCUGGCCUAGGUUAGAAGAGGGAUUAGUAUUUGUGAGGAGUCUAAAAAUUGUAAAGCAAACUGAAGACCAAUCACAUGUAGGCAAUUUUAAGCAGGAUCAGUG
RNAcentral lists this long non-coding RNA (1141 nucleotides) under Heterocephalus glaber (naked mole-rat). Its description in RNAcentral is "lncRNA (ENSHGLG00100043224.1)". The record is from RNAcentral. Lineage: Eukaryota; Metazoa; Chordata; Mammalia; Rodentia; Bathyergidae.